This 2629-nucleotide long non-coding RNA is filed under the name Zea mays. Its description in RNAcentral is "long non-coding RNA (ZMAY_LNC001055)". The record is from RNAcentral. Lineage: Eukaryota; Viridiplantae; Streptophyta; Magnoliopsida; Poales; Poaceae.
UACUCCUCAUCACCUACAACAACAUGGGUUCAAAAACCCUAAGUACGAAGUGUACUUUCGCAAGUCUUACCCGACUAAGGAAAAAUGACUCUUAAGGAUAUGCUGGUUAAAUAGGAAUCAAGGGAAAGGCUUUUGCAAGAAAACUUAGAUACUUUUGCAGAAAUAGCUUACUAAAGUGAGUCCUUACUUUCAAUAUUUUAACGCCAGAUUAAAUAUUAAUAGACUCUAGUUGCAUCUAGUCUAAUUUCACCAUCUCAUCAAUACAACAUCAUUUUUAUUCAUAAUGUUUACAUCCUGACUUAGGUUGCAGGUCAGAGAUCAAGUCUUCACUAUCCGGGGAUAUAACGGCGAUCCGAAUCGAUUUACUCAGCUGAGGAUCUCUAACCACAUGACAUAUGUAGCACCUAACCCUUGCAUAUGUUAACCAUUCCCACAGAUCCUCCACAAUGUGAACCGGUUCGCGCUACCCGAGAGCACAGUACUCCUCCGUCCAGCCUCUAGCCAGGAGGGUACACGCUACUCCCACCAUCUCCCACGCCUAGUGCGCGGUUGUCUUUUCACGUAUGGAAUAGCCGGGUUCAAGCUUACCCUAUCCCAUAUACAGGGCAUGUGGCCAGUUAAGAUAGUCCUUGAUUAUACAAGCCUACAUACACAUCCAAUCCUUAAUUAACCUGGGUGUAGCAUCACCUGUUCCUAGCCCAAGUCUCGAUUUAAGUACUUCCAUCCUUAGGAUUAUUUUGUAUUCCUUAGGAUGAGAAGAGCAUUAUAGGGAACUUUACAGUAAGAUCUCACCAUGCUCCUAAUGAAAAUAUUCUUGCAGGUAGAAGCCAUCCUUCCUCAGGAUAACUCCUGAGCUAGGCAUUAUUGCAAGGACAACCUCUAUCCGCAAGAUCUAAGCAGGGCUAAGCAAUUUUGUAAAUCAUAUUUGAUACUUCACCAGAAGUAUCUAUAAAAGGAAUGGAUUUCAAGGUACCCAAUGCAGCAAAGGGUUUCCAAGCAACUCCUAUAAACCUAAUGCACAUUUCACUAGACUUAAAGUGUGUAAAAACCAUUUAAAGACACAAGGAAGGGGUUGCAUGCACCGGGGCUUGCCUUAUUGCAGUGAAGAGGUUCCAUAUCCCUCUAUCCAAUACCCAGUUAGAUGGCUCCAUCCUCUUGAUGAGCAGACACUGGAGUGGACUUCUCUUCAGAAUCUCCUUCUUGGCACUCUACAUGAAAUGUAUGUCCAUGAAUUCUUAUACGCACGCUAUGAAAGUGCAACUUGUAAAGAAGACAAUAUUAAACACUUCUAACUACACCUUACCACAUGGUGCACAAAAAGAUUAACAAAAUAAUAGGGGAUCUAGUAGCACCAAGAAUCCAAAGUCUACACCUUCAAGCCAUGACCACCAAGGGACUAGAACACACUAGAUUUCAUCCAAAUAUCAAGAUCUCACUUGAUAAACUUGGCUCUACUUCCCAAGCUCUAAUCCCUUCUUGGAUUAGGGAUUUAUCUUAACGAUUAUGGACCAUGCAAAGCUUUCUGGGUGAAUCGCUUACAAACAACCUCAAACUUUUACCACAAGCUCAAAUGACCAAAACAAGGUUACUCAAAAAUUUCCAUAAGUUUUGGUACUGUACUUUUAUUUUUAAUAUCCAAACAGUCCUAGCAAGAGCACUUUUAAAUCCCUUAAUAUUUGGUAAUCGACCUAAAAAUCCGAAAACCAACUUUACUAAAGAGAUUUUGAUUUUAUACAUCCAAUAAAAUUUGUCCCAUGAUUUUUGGAAAUUUCUCAAUUUUUGGCAUCAUUUCCAAUUUGUCGGGUAAAUGAAUAAAGGGAAUAAUUAAUUCUGGGUUGAAAUCAGCCCACGUGGCCCAACUCCGGGUAGAUCCGGCCCACGACAGGGAGCCCGCGCCCGCAUCUGGGCUUUUGCACAAAGGACCCUGCGCUCUGACUAAAUUGACAUGACUCCGAGCCACUGUUUGGCUGAGUCACCGACAGUUUCACGCACACCCCUCGGAUUCAGCUCAUUCACAACUUCAGGGCCCCAACACCGCCGCACAGUUCUCCAGUGAACCGGCGACUAUGGCCGCGGCGGCGCAGGUCUUUGGCACCCACAAAUCACCUCUGACAUGCGUUGAUAGCCAACCCGCAUUAACCUCAAUCCUCCAACACCCACGACGAGCAGUAGUCCACCCCGGCCACAAUACCCAUGGAGUUCUUGACUCGGCGUGCCCGGUCCCGAUGCACCUAUAUGGUAGAGCUCAAACCAAAGGCGUGGAGAGUAUCACUGACUUACAUAGAUCACGGUGCUCGCGCGAGGUUGAUCGGGGAAAGCGUGAGUUGUAUGGUCUGCGGUGGAGCUACCCAUAGCACCAGAUCACGGCGACAUGCCCCUGUUCCGGCCAAAGCACGACAUUAGCGUUAGGGAAAACAGCUCGGUGAGCUUCACUGAUCUAUAGGGGAUAUGGGACAUGCACAAUAUGGACCAAUACCUGCUUGAGUUGGCCUAGCCACGACAAGGUGAUCACUCGGGUGAACGUGGUCACCAGACUGGGUGUUGGCGCGCGUAGUUCUGGACAGGGCUACCCUGGGGCUGGGGAGAGGGUUUAUACCAGCAGGAACACAAGGAUUACCACUCCCACAAG